UGCGUAGGCGGAACGAUAAGUCAGUGGUGAAAUUCUGCAGCUUAACUGUAGACGUGCCAUUGAUACUGUCAGUCUUGAGUAUGGUCAAGGUAGGCGGAAUGUGUAAUGUAGCGGUGAAAUGCUUAGAUAUUACACAGAACACCGAUUGCGAAGGCAGCUUGCUGGGCCAUUACUGACGCUGAUGCACGAAAGCGUGGGGAUCGAACAGGAUUAGAUACCCUGGUAGUCC
This 229-nucleotide ribosomal RNA is filed under the name uncultured bacterium. Its description in RNAcentral is "partial 16S ribosomal RNA". It matches the Rfam family "Bacterial small subunit ribosomal RNA", at positions 568 to 796 of the family's 1533-position model. The record is from RNAcentral.